UCAAUCCGUCGCCUCUCCCGCAAGCCGCCGCCCUCUCUCCUUCUCCCCGUCUUUGGCCCCGCCCUCGCCAACUCCCGACGCUCCGCCGAGUGGAGAACCAGGAAGGAGGAGGGACGUGAAGUGGAGAAGAGGGGGUGCGCUGGAGAAGGAGCCAAGCCUGCAGGAGAGCACGGAGUGCCGGCGCGCCGUGCCCGCCGCAGCUGCUCGUGGAGAUCCGGCAUGUGCUGCACCAUGGAGGCGCUCGUGGAGGUACUCUCGCCUUCGGAACCACCUCGAUCCGCGUCUGGAACCAUCCUGCUCGUCUCCAACUUUUCCAGCUCACUGAUGAGGACCUCGUCUCGGCCUCCCUACCAGCCCCAUCCGGUUUGAUGUCGAGGAGGUUCGGUUCCUACACCAAUGGUUACAGCGGGCUCUGCUGCAGGGAGUGGAAGUUUUAGAAUGCUGCGGACAGGUUGAGAGCAAUAGAUGUUUUUUAAGUCCUAGGACAAUUUGAUUUUGGGAGGACAAAGGUCAGGCAAGGAUGAGAAUGGGAUACCAGAUUACAACGAUGGAGGCUCGGACAUGGAUCUGCUCAUGCUCUCAGCGGGAAUACUGGAUGUUCUUGAAGCUUUGCCAUACACACGUGCUACUUUUGGCACUUGUGUGGGCUCCAGUUUGUGUCAAUGCAAUUUGCAUCUAUCAGCGGAUUAUGUCGAUCAGGUUUGGUUAUUGGCAUACAUGUAUGUUUGUGUAUGGAUGUCACAAAAUUGUUAUGCAGAAAAUAAGAGUGUAGUACAUUUCAGAGAUACAAGUGAUCUUGUUCAGUUUAGUCAGAGCACAUGCAAACAAGUAGUUCCCUAGGGUGGAGGCCUUCCACUUGCUUUUGCUAGCUAUAUGAAAUAGACUGAACCUGAACCUAACUACGAUUGGAUGUCUAAGCUGAAUUGUUGCAUCCGUAGACAUGGAAUUAUGGAUCAAUUUUAGCUCUCAAGAACUGCAUACUUAUGGUCCUAUGUAAUCCCAAUUUAUUCAGGCCAGCAUCCCAAAAGUUCACUAAUGAACAAAGCAACAUCACACAGAAUCUAAGUUUUAGGCCAGGUUACUAAUCAAUCUUUUCCCUUCUCUCUAUUUAAUUUUAACAUUGCACAAUUAUUUAUUCCCUGUUUGUAGCUUACACUGAAAUCUAAGCUCGUGUGCAUGUAUGUAUUAUGAACCAGCCCUGUCCAUUGCCUUACUGGAUACAUAAGUCUCUCCAUUGCUGUUGUCGGAUGGGUUUACGUUUGCUGUUACUUUCUGUCUUGGUUAGGAACCAGGUUGUAUAAUGCACCAAUGCUGCUUUCUGAUGACGACGGCAAUGCCAAACGCACCAUCACCUGAGGACCGCCUUCAAGAGCAUGCUGAAGAAUCACAACAAAAACUCCCCAGUGAUAGUGCCACUCCAUGAGACAUCCAUAUCAAACUGAAACUCAAUUUCCUCGCAUUAGCCAAAGCAUGCCAUCACAAAUUUUUUGCUGUUGUUUUGGAACUAUUUCAGUAUGGACCCUUGAUGGGCCAUGCUUUUCUCUGCUUUUUGCGUUCCUGGACUAUAUCCAAGGAUGAAGUGAAGAAGAAGAAUUGGGAUUGUCAAUUGUGUAUUUGCAAUUGUACAGAUCCGAGGUCUAUGCGAUUGGCGGGGAAGGAACCAUGAGAGGAGCAGUGGCGAUAUUCAAAGAGAUUAAACGGCAUGGUUUGAGGAUACCCAUUACAUGGAUCCCCAAAACUGUGGACAUCGGCAUCAUAGACAGGUCGUUUGUGUUCCAAACUGCAGUGGAGAUUACUCAGCAUGCGAUCAACCGGCACAUGUGGAGGCUGUGAGCGCUGUGAAUGGUAUUGGUCUUGUCAAACUUACGGAAGGAGCACAUGACACGUUACUCUUCAUGCCACCCUGAGCAGCCGAGAUGUUGACUGCUGUGAAUCUUGAGAUUGAUUUCCACGUUGAAGGGAAGGGAAGCCUGUUUGAGUUCCUGUAUGAACGGAUAAAGAAGAAGGGGCAUGUUGUGGUCGUUGUUGCUGAAGGUGCUGAUCAGGAGUUAAUACCCCGGACUGAUGACCCAACAGAGUUAACUUAAUCUGAACCUCCUCUGUUUCCGCUAUAUAUCCCUAAUUUUCUGAACUUAACAACUGAACACCAUUAUAUAUUAGAUUAGCACACAAGUGAACUGGAAAUCAUUUUAUUCAGAUUGUUUGUACCCUCAGUGUAAAAUUAUUCCUUAUUGGUUGGGGAUUUGGAGACGUAGUAUCUGGUUGAUGAAGGAUUUUUAUCUCCUAAGCUUCA
This is an RNA transcript of Triticum dicoccoides, 2293 nucleotides long. RefSeq lists it as uncharacterized. The transcript is spliced from 8 exons. Lineage: Eukaryota; Viridiplantae; Streptophyta; Magnoliopsida; Poales; Poaceae. The record is from RefSeq and is a predicted model, not a curated record.